Caenorhabditis elegans is the source of this 21-nucleotide non-coding RNA. NCBI's taxonomy places the organism in Eukaryota, Metazoa, Nematoda, Chromadorea, Rhabditida, Rhabditidae. The record is from Ensembl.
UGUAUAAUACCCUGAACUUCC